Molecule: ribozyme, 189 nt
Filed under: Anopheles sinensis
Lineage: Eukaryota; Metazoa; Arthropoda; Insecta; Diptera; Culicidae
Description: drz-agam-2-2 ribozyme
Rfam family: drz-agam-2-2 ribozyme
Source: Rfam by way of RNAcentral
UAAAAACAUAGUUCUGUAACAGGUUGGAUCCGGCGCCUCUUGAAGGCUACUAUAGGCUCUCCUCCCCAACUCCUACUCAAUACGUCCGCGUCGUACAGAACGGUAACAUGUCGCCUAAAUAUCCAAGCUUGGGUACACGGGGAAACCCACCCCCUUGGGCGGAUGGGCGGCAAGGCUGAAUUGAGAGGG